UACAGAGGUCUCAAGCGUUGUUCGGAUUUAUUGGGCGUAAAGGGUGCGUAGGUGGCGGGGUAAGUCAGGUGUGAAAUCUCGGAGCUCAACUCCGAAACUGCACUUGAUACUGCCUUGCUUGAGUACUGGAGAGGAGAUUGGAAUUUACGGUGUAGCAGUGAAAUGCGUAGAUAUCGUAAGGAAGACCAGUGGCGAAGGCGAAUCUCUGGACAGUUACUGACACUGAGGCACGAAGGCCAGGGGAGCAAACGGG
This 253-nucleotide ribosomal RNA is filed under the name uncultured bacterium. RNAcentral describes it as "partial 16S ribosomal RNA". It matches the Rfam family "Bacterial small subunit ribosomal RNA", at positions 524 to 776 of the family's 1533-position model. The record is from RNAcentral.